GACGAACGCUGGCGGCGUGCUUAACACAUGCAAGUCGAACGGAAAGGCCCUGCUUUUGUGGGGUGCUCGAGUGGCGAACGGGUGAGUAACACGUGAGUAACCUGCCCUUGACUUUGGGAUAACUUCAGGAAACUGGGGCGAUUACCGGAUAGGAGCUCCUGCUGCAUGGUGGGGGUUGGAAAGUUUCGGCGGUUGGGGAUGGACUCGCGGCUUAUCAGCUUGUUGGUGGGGUAGUGGCUUACCAAGGGUUUGACGGGUAGCCGGCCUGAGAGGGUGACCGGCCACAAUGGGACUGAGAGACGGACCAGACUCCUACGGGAGGCAGCAGUGGGGAAUAUUGCACAAUGGGCGGAAGCCUGAUGCAGCAACGCCGCGUGCGGGAUGACGGCCUUCGGGUUGUAAACCGCUUUCGCCUGUGACGAAGCGUGAGUGACGGUAAUGGGUAAAGAAGCACCGGCUAACUACGUG
RNAcentral lists this ribosomal RNA (468 nucleotides) under uncultured bacterium. Its description in RNAcentral is "partial 16S ribosomal RNA". It matches the Rfam family "Bacterial small subunit ribosomal RNA", at positions 28 to 507 of the family's 1533-position model. The record is from RNAcentral.